CCUACGGGUGGCAGCAGUGGGGAAUAUUGCACAAUGGGGGAAACCCUGAUGCAGCGACGCCGCGUGAGUGAAGAAGCGUUUCGGCGCGUAAAGCUCUGUCAGCGGGGAAGAAACACGGUUCGCGAGAGCCGCGGACGGUACCCGACCAAGAAGCCCCGGCUAACUACGUGCCAGCAGCCGCGGUAAUACGUAGGGGGCAAGCGUUAUCCGGAAUUACUGGGUGUAAAGGGAGCGUAGACGGUGAUGUAAGUCUGGAGUGAAAGGCGGGGGCCCAACCCCCGGACUGCUCUGGAAACUAUGUGACUGGAGUGCAGGAGAGGUGAGCGGAAUUCCUAGUGUAGCGGUGAAAUGCGUAGAUAUUAGGAGGAACACCAGUGGCGAAGGCGGCUCACUGGACUGUAACUGACGUUGAGGCUCGAAAGCGUGGGGAGCAAACAGGAUUAGAUACCCUUGUAGUC
RNAcentral lists this ribosomal RNA (458 nucleotides) under uncultured bacterium. RNAcentral's name for it is "partial 16S ribosomal RNA". It matches the Rfam family "Bacterial small subunit ribosomal RNA", at positions 338 to 795 of the family's 1533-position model. The record is from RNAcentral.